CUGCCCGGGGCCGGGGGAAGGAAGCCAGCCGAGGAGACGCACGUGCCCUGAGUCCGGGAGCGGGGAGCCUCUUCAUCUCUCCAUCCUCCCUCCGCGCGCGCCCUCAGCCGUCCUCGUCCGCUCACCAUGCACCUCCCCUCCAAGAAAGGGCCACAUGCGUGCCAGGGACGCGAGCCCCGGCCACAGGGACAUAGCAGCCUAGAAGGUAUACCAGGAACACUUAAUCAACAUCCUGCAUGGUUCCAGCAAAGACAUUAAGACAGUUGGGACUGUUGGUGAGGACAGAUGAUCUUCACAAACCCUCUGACUCUUAAGAACCUGGGAGACCUGCUGGAGUUUACCCCACAUUCCCUUAAUUAAAAAGCCAUUAAAAUAGUCAACUUUGCUGGGCA
This 392-nucleotide long non-coding RNA is filed under the name Homo sapiens (human). Its description in RNAcentral is "CTTN divergent transcript (ENSG00000288166.1)". The record is from RNAcentral. Lineage: Eukaryota; Metazoa; Chordata; Mammalia; Primates; Hominidae.